GUUCAACAGACAAAAAAGGUGGAGAAGCUUGGAGAGAGACGAGUGAGCAAGCUGAGAUGCAGUGAUUAUGAUGACUGAAAGAUGAACGAGCCGCAGGCCAAGAGGAAGAUGAAAAGCUGGCAUUACAAAAGAAGAGAGAGAAAUGGUUCGGAUGCGUGACGGGGAAAGAAUGCAAUGGGAAAAAAAGGAGGGAGUUCUGGGUCUUUGGUGAAUGAAAACAGUGAUGAAUUUUGGAAUUUUGGAGCUCGAGGUUUGAAAAAAGCACGAUAAGAGAGGAACAAUUGAGAAUAAAAGGCCCAAAACAGAGGAGCUUUCCUUUUUUUUUUGGGUGUCUGUGGAGACUGAUUGUGAGUGUUUGGGUGCGUGCAACAGAGAGUAAAAUUCAAGAAAGAUGAAGGAAAGACUUAGGUUAUAGAGUUUGCGAAUUUUAAAUAUAAUUCUUGAUUUAGUCUGUAAUGUGGUUUGGUCAAUGCCUUUUAAAUGUAUUUUGAGUUUGAAGUCGAAUUAGUGACAUUAAUCUGUUUGAGUUGAUGUAGUUUGCAUUGUGUACAUCAGUGAACCAGUUGCAUGCUUAAAUGGGUUCAUUCAUAUGAAGAUGGCAAGGGAUAAUGUCAUUUUUUAGCUGCUCGUUUGAUAUUUGUCCAGUAAAUUUUCUUCAAGUAGAUCGAUUCAGUCAGU
RNAcentral lists this long non-coding RNA (678 nucleotides) under Carica papaya (papaya). RNAcentral describes it as "long non-coding RNA (CPAP_LNC009655)". The record is from RNAcentral. Lineage: Eukaryota; Viridiplantae; Streptophyta; Magnoliopsida; Brassicales; Caricaceae.